CCAAGAAUAUACACCAAAAUUAAAAUUCAACCUAUUCUAGGAAUUUAAAAUGCAAAAGUGUAAGAAGAAAUUCUAGGUUGCAUCCUAGUAGCGGUUGUUUAACGUCACGAGUCUGACCCAAACCUGGUUGGCACUUGUCAGUAAGUGCACUACCUUCCACCACCCAUCAGUAGGUGUACCUUCCGGAUAUCCUUCAGUGGAUACCUAUAUCUUCUAACAUCCCCCAGUAGAUGCUAUCCGGGUAGCAUUCAUCAGUAAAUGCUAAUCUUUCUAAACUUCAUUGGCCUCCAUCAGUAAAUGCCAUAUCACCUAACAUCCAUCAGUAGAUGUUGUAGAAGCAUCCAUCAGUAGAUGUUAUCAUCACUACCAUCAGAAGCAAUGCAUAACCCAAAAAAAAAAUAAAGAAAAUAAAAUAAAAUAAAAUAAAACCAAAUCAAAUAAAAUCAAAUAAAAUAAAAAAAUCAAAUAAAAGAAAAUAAAAUAAAAAUAAAAAUAAAAUAAAAUCAAAUCAAAUCAAAUCGAAACGAAAUUAAAAAAAUUCAGAAACUGGGUUGCCUCCCAGCAAGCGCUCUUUUAACGUCAUUAGCUUGACCCGAUAAAGCCCAAACAUCCCUCAGUAGGUGUUGAUUUUUAACGUUGGCAUUCUUCCUUCCUUCAUGACACCAACAAUCUUCUUGUCACCCACUCUAAGGAUCCUCAAUCUCAAGAGCUCUGCUUGCUUUAAUAGUCUUGACAACCCAUAACCUAAUUUUGAAUUUCAUUGAUGUGUCAGGUUAGGGUUUGUCACUUUUCACAUCAGGGUGUUGGUGAACCAAUUCUCCUUCCUUAUCUGCCUCCUGAUGAUCUUGUGCUCCUAGUAC
This 860-nucleotide long non-coding RNA is filed under the name Vigna radiata. RNAcentral's name for it is "long non-coding RNA (VRAD_LNC009019)". Lineage: Eukaryota; Viridiplantae; Streptophyta; Magnoliopsida; Fabales; Fabaceae. The record is from RNAcentral.